RNAcentral lists this ribosomal RNA (253 nucleotides) under uncultured bacterium. RNAcentral describes it as "partial 16S ribosomal RNA". It matches the Rfam family "Bacterial small subunit ribosomal RNA", at positions 524 to 776 of the family's 1533-position model. The record is from RNAcentral.
UACGACGGGGGCUAGCGUUGUUCGGAAUCACUGGGCGUAAAGCGCACGCAGGCGGAUCGAUAAGUCGGGGGUGAAAGCCCGGGGCUCAACCUUGGAAUUGCCUUCGAUACUGUCGGUCUCGAGUCCGGGAGAGGUGAGUGGAAUUCCUAGUGUAGAGGUGAAAUUCGUAGAUAUUAGGAAGUACACCAGUGGCGAAGGCGGCUCACUAGCCCGGUACUGACGCUCAGGUGCGAAAGCGUGGGGAGCAAACAGG